AUGUAAGGAUUCAAAGGUCGAACAGACCUAAACUUUGAACUUCUACACCCAAAAAUAACCCUUAAUCCAACAUCGAGGUCGCAAUCUUUUUUAUCGAUAAGAACUCUCUAAAAAAAUUACGCUGUUAUCCCUAAGGUAACUUAAUCUUAUAAUCAGUAUAACUGGAUCAAUAAUUCAAUAAUUUUUGUUAUAAAAUAAAAAGAGUUUAAUUAAUCUUCCUGUCACCCCAACAAAAUAUUUAUUUUAAUAAAAUUUAAAAAUUUUUAUAAAUAAAUUAUUAUAUAAAUAUAAAGCUCUAUAGGGUCUUCUCGUCCUUUAAUUUUAUUUAAGCCUUUUAACUUAAAAGUUAAAUUUUAAUUUCAUUUAAAUUGAGACAGUCAACACCUCGUUCAAUCAUUCAUUCUAGUCCCCAAUUAAAAGACUAAUUAUUAUGCUACCUUUGCACGGUCAAAAUACCGCGGCCCUUUAAAAUAUCAGUGGGCAGAUUAGACUUUAAAUUAUUUUCUAAAAG
RNAcentral lists this ribosomal RNA (511 nucleotides) under Panorpa alpina. Its description in RNAcentral is "partial 16S ribosomal RNA". The record is from RNAcentral. Lineage: Eukaryota; Metazoa; Arthropoda; Insecta; Mecoptera; Panorpidae.